UGAUUAGCCUAAACCAUAUCAUAAAGGGG
Molecule: non-coding RNA, 29 nt
Filed under: Homo sapiens (human)
Lineage: Eukaryota; Metazoa; Chordata; Mammalia; Primates; Hominidae
Source: RNAcentral